AGCUCUCCCCUCUUGCUGUCUGCUGGCUUCAAGCCUCCAGGAUACCAGGAGGUCAGAAUAUUGUCAGGAAUCAGAAUGCAGAAAGGAGAGAAGAGCCUCAUCAACUGUGAUGUGUACAGCCACAUUAGGUUCCUGUGAGCCUCUGGGCACAUUUCAUCAGCUGGUGCUCAAUUAAUGCCCAAUAGCUCAGGAAAGAUCCUUCUGCUAAACUGGGAUGGAGCAGAACCAGAAACUUGUGGAUAGCCAUUAAAGCCUUGUGUGGAAUGUGACCUACAUCUUUGGGAACUUUUACAUGUAUGUUGAAUGUUGACUUGUUUUUAAGUCAAUCACUGGAUUCCUACUGCUGUCUGAAAUGGUAGGUAUGCUGUAACAUUUUUACACCUGAAGAGAUUAUGCCAUUUAUUCAGGAGAACUUAUUUUUUUACUAGUUAGGUUAGGAGAGGACAUAGGAAAAAGUGGGAGAGGCCGAAUGCUAAUAGAUCUCAGCCUUGAGGACAUACCAGGGCGAUGGGUAACACAUAGCAUGAGUUACUGCCAGAAUUCAAAUGUGCCUGCUAUGUGUCUGGCCAUAGGUAUUUCAAGUCACAUCUCCUCCUGUCCAUGCAGGAGGAAGAAGCAGAAGGCCCUGAAUACUUACUUACUCUUACCCUCUCUCCUUCUGCCUUGAUGUGACACGUCUCACACACACACACACACACACACACACACACACACACACACACACACACAAUCUCAGUUGUGCUUUCCUUUGCUAACUCUUUUAACAAACCUGUGGUUUUAUAGAUCUGUAUGUUUCAGUCAAAUUGUAGUCCCUUUUGGAUCAUUGAACUCAGAG
Non-coding RNA from Manis javanica (Malayan pangolin), 835 nucleotides. The record is from RefSeq and is a predicted model, not a curated record. NCBI's taxonomy places the organism in Eukaryota, Metazoa, Chordata, Mammalia, Pholidota, Manidae.